AUUGAACGCUGGCGGCAUGCUUUACACAUGCAAGUCGAACGGUAACAGGUUAAGCUGACGAGUGGCGAACGGGUGAGUAAUGCAUCGGAACGUGCCCGAUCGUGGGGGAUAACGCAGCGAAAGCUGCGCUAAUACCGCAUACGAUCUGAGGAUGAAAGCGGGGGACCGUAAGGCCUCGCGCGAUCGGAGCGGCCGAUGUCAGAUUAGGUAGUUGGUGGGGUAAAGGCCCACCAAGCCGACGAUCUGUAGCUGGUCUGAGAGGACGACCAGCCACACUGGGAAUGAGAGACGGCCCAGACUCCUACGGGAGGCAGCAGUGGGGAAUUUUGGACAAUGGGCGAAAGCCUGAUCCAGCAAUGCCGCGUGCAGGAAGAAGGCCUUCGGGUUGUAAACUGCUUUUGUACGGAGCGAAAAGGUCCUUUCUAAUACAGGGGGCUCAUGACGGUACCGUAAGAAUAAGCACCGGCUAACUACGUGCCAGCCGCCGCCGUAA
This 493-nucleotide ribosomal RNA is filed under the name uncultured bacterium. RNAcentral describes it as "partial 16S ribosomal RNA". It matches the Rfam family "Bacterial small subunit ribosomal RNA", at positions 29 to 523 of the family's 1533-position model. The record is from RNAcentral.